This 529-nucleotide ribosomal RNA is filed under the name uncultured Actinomycetes bacterium. RNAcentral describes it as "bacterial SSU rRNA". It matches the Rfam family "Bacterial small subunit ribosomal RNA", at positions 355 to 896 of the family's 1533-position model. The record is from RNAcentral. Lineage: Bacteria; Bacillati; Actinomycetota; Actinomycetes.
UGGGGAAUAUUGGGCAAUGGAGGAAACUCUGACCCAGCGACGCCGCGUGCGGGAUGAAGGCUUCGGGUUGUAAACCGCUUUCAGCAGGGAAGAAGCGAAAGUGACGGUACCUGCAGAAGAAGCACCGGCUAACUAUGUGCCAGCAGCCGCGGUAAUACAUAGGGUGCAAGCGUUGUCCGGAAUUAUUGGGCGUAAAGAGCUCGUAGGUGGUUCGUCACGUCGGAUGUGAAACUCUGGGGCUUAACCCCAGACCUGCAUUCGAUACGGGCGAGCUUGAGUAUGGUAGGGGAGUCUGGAAUUCCUGGUGUAGCGGUGGAAUGCGCAGAUAUCAGGAGGAACACCAAUGGCGAAGGCAGGACUCUGGGCCAUUACUGACACUGAGGAGCGAAAGCGUGGGGAGCGAACAGGAUUAGAUACCCUGGUAGUCCACGCCGUAAACGGUGGGCACUAGUUGUGGGGACCUUCCACGGUCUCUGCGACGCAGCUAACGCAUUAAGUGCCCCGCCUGGGGAGUACGAUCGCAAGAUUA